Molecule: long non-coding RNA, 239 nt
Organism: Peromyscus leucopus (white-footed mouse)
Lineage: Eukaryota; Metazoa; Chordata; Mammalia; Rodentia; Cricetidae
Exons: 3
Source: RefSeq, a predicted model, not a curated record
CCAAAGGACCAGCCAAAACCUCGCCUCAAGUCACACGUAUGAUAAUUUUCUGGAACACUCCAAUUCAGUGUUACUACAGCCACAGACUGCCACAGCAGCACAUCGAGCCAGAGGCUGCCACUCUUGCCCAGUAAUCAUCCAGUGAUAACAAACAAUGAUCUCCAGCCACCCAAUUACUACGAGGUAAUGGAGUUUGAUCCCUUAGCUCCUGCUACAGAGUAAGUCAUUUAUAAAAUUAU